Molecule: ribosomal RNA, 470 nt
Filed under: uncultured bacterium
Lineage: Bacteria
Description: bacterial SSU rRNA
Rfam family: Bacterial small subunit ribosomal RNA
Source: RNAcentral
AGAGUUUGAUUCUGGCUCAAGAACGAACGCUGGCGGCAGGCCUAACACAUGCAAGGUCGAGCGCGCCCUUCGGGGUGAGCGGCGGACGGGUUAGUAACGCGUGGGAACGUACCCUUUGGUAGGGAAUAGCCACUGGAAACGGUGAGUAAUACCCUAUGAGCCCUUCGGGGGAAAGAUUUAUCGCCAAAGGAUCGGCCCGCGUUAGAUUAGGUAGUUGGUGGGGUAAUGGCCUACCAAGCCUACGAUCUAUAGCUGGUUUUAGAGGAUGAUCAGCAACACUGGGACUGAGACACGGCCCAGACUCCUACGGGAGGCAGCAGGUGGGGAAUCUUGGACAAGUGGGGGCAACCCUUAGAUCCAGCCAUGCCGCGUGAGUGAAGAAGGCCUUAGGGUCGUAAAGCUCUUUCGCCUGUGAAGAUAAUGACGGUAGCAGGUAAAGAAACCCCGGCUAACUCCGUGCCAGCCGCCGC